CGUGGGGGUGGCAGUCAGACAUGCCUCCAGGGUGUUUCUGCCCAGACUCGGGGGGUAGGGAGGUGGGUACAGCUGCUCCCCACCAAGAGUCUAGGUCUGUCUAUGGGCCACAGUGGACUCAGCCAGGGGUAACAGGCCAGGGCUGCAGCAUUGAGGAUUUCAGUGAGACUCAGGGCAGGACUUCCUGAGGGUGGGGGAAGUGGAGCAGGGCACUGGUGAAGAGGGACAUGUGCCUCCCAGGGAACAUGGCUCUUUGGUUGUGACACCUCCUUACCCUCUGCUGCCACCCAAGGUUUCCCUCCUUCCCAGCCCACUGCCUCUAGGCUACAGAAACUGCAGCCCCAAGGCCCUAGUGCAGGGCACAGGGCACGCCAGCCAGGGAAGAGGGGGUGCCCUGGCCUUGCUCCCCUGUCGCCUCCUCAGAGUCCCCCAGUUUGUGCACAUCCUUCCAGGCAUUUGGCCACACCUUCUGCGGUGGAGGCAUAGCCGGGGCAUGAAGCCUCGAACAGCCCUUCUGCCACCAAAGAAGCUACCAUGGGUCCCAGCGUCCCCUUGGGCGAUGGUGCAGGGCAGCCAAUCAGCAUCCUGGAGGCAGUUUUGAACACCUGAGUCCACCAAUGCCCAGGUGAGGGCCCUCUGGGCCUCCCUGCACAUCCACUGCCCUCCUCAGUGGCCAGGAGUGUCACGACUUGGUGCUACUUUAUUUUGUCACUUAAUCUUCAUAUUCCCCACCAAGCCACUCCCUGCUUGCAGCCUUUGAAUCCUUGUUUCUGCACCUCCAGGGCCUGUGUGUGUGUGAGCUCUGCUCAGAUGGGACAAGCCAGAGUUUUGCACUUAGGGCACCUGCUGUCCAGAGCCAGAUCUGGGGGCAGGUGCAGAGUCCCCUCGCGCCUUGGCCCCUCAGCAGUUGUGCAGCUUCCUCUGAGAUCUGUGGGCCUCACAGGCUCCCAGUGAGCAGAUGGGGACACAGAGAGUAGCCCUGAGUCUGGGCUUUCCUUUAGGGGUCAAGUUUAUAGGGAAAGGAAGGGGCGUGGCAGCCUGAGGUCGGGUAGCUGUACCCAGCCAGGCCGUGACUUCCUCAUCUCCACCCCCACUCAGGGACUGGCACUCCAGCACUCCGAGACUGUCCCUCCUGGCAGCCAUCUCCACCCCGGCUCUCAGGAGAGGAAGGGACCCAUCCGGGGGUCUGGGGCUGUGUGCUAGGGGUCUGCUGAGGAGGGAGCCGGCCCCUUCUUUCCAGGUGAAGACCCUGGACCUGGUCGCCUGUCCCUGGCUCCCUGCACCCUUCUCAGGAGGCUGUUGACUGUUCCCGUUGUUUUUGGAAUCUCGCCCUGACCUCUCAGUGAGAGGGUAAGCCUUGGCUCUGUGGCCCUGUGUGUGGAGCCUGCACCCGCAUUCCCACAGCCAGGUGCAAAGGCUGUUCCUCUUCCCUAGCCCCAAGCCUUUGCACAACCGUUCUCCUGAAAGGCCUUCCUGAGCUGCUCGCUCCCCUGCUGCAGCUGCGUUUAGCUUGUGGCCUGAGCUUCAGCACCAGCCUGGCUUGUCGAAGUUCCCUGGGCUCUGGCAAGAAGCAGUUAAGGACUUAGAGAGGCUCACCCAGCAGGCCACCUCCUCCAAGCAGCCUUCCAGGGUACAGGAAACUCAGGCUGGGACUGCCUCUGUGUUCCCACUGGGGUUGGAAAACUUGACACUCCACCUCCUAAUUCCUGGCAAGGUGCUCCCAGGCCUACCCCGCUCACAUCAUGACCCUGCUGUUUCUCCACACUUGUUGCACCAGCUGUGCUGGGCUCGAGGACCAGGGUCUCCCAUCUGUUUCUGUCCUCAGGACAUCAGGAGUUUUCAAGGGCUAGUGGGGAUGCUGAGAUCUAAAAGCAUGUUUAGGCCGGGUGCAGUGGCAUGCACCUUGUAGUCCCAGCACUCUUGGAGGCCGAGGCGGGAGGAUCUCUUUGGGUC
Non-coding RNA from Microcebus murinus (gray mouse lemur), 1953 nucleotides. The record is from RefSeq and is a predicted model, not a curated record. Lineage: Eukaryota; Metazoa; Chordata; Mammalia; Primates; Cheirogaleidae.